This 3753-nucleotide long non-coding RNA is filed under the name Capsicum annuum. Its description in RNAcentral is "long non-coding RNA (CANN_LNC005257)". The record is from RNAcentral. Lineage: Eukaryota; Viridiplantae; Streptophyta; Magnoliopsida; Solanales; Solanaceae.
UGGUCAGAACAAGCAACGAAUGCACAAUCUAAUAUAAAUCAUUACAAAUACUAGAAUGAUGAUUAGAUCAUUCAAAAAAAUCAUUAUAAAACAAAAACUUAGUUAUAAUUAUACUUACUACAUCCUUCGAGGGGUGAAGAGAUCAAAAAAAUUUACAUUUUUAUCCAUUGUGGCCGACAACCAUCUCAAAAUUCUUGGACAAAAAACUUCUACCUGAUAGUUCACUUGUUGUCUCAAAUAAGAAAUGACUUCAAAUGCCCAAGCCUAUAAAAUAAUACUAAUAAAUUAAAAGCAUUGUCGCACCCCAUUUUCAUCGUGAAAGGCAGGAUUCGACUUGACUCUUUUUGGAUGCGUUAAAAAAGAGUGUGAGAGUCACCACCUAACGUAUUAAGGUGUCUUAGAGCACCGGUCUAGACUACAACGAACCUAUUUUGUUGUUAACAUAGGGAAUCUACAUCACCAAAUAAAGGUCUCUCACUUUACUAUUAAUUUAAGGUUUGACUACGUGAUAAAGUAAUUAACAAACAUUUAAUUUAAUUUUUUAGCCAGUAAUCACCAAAGUGAUAAAAUCAAUAAAAAUAUGUAAAUAAGAUAAGAGAGGAGAAAGAAAUGACAAUCAUAAUAAAGAGGAUUCCUUAUAUAAUAAACUAACUACCCCAAAUAAACAUGUAAAGUGAAUAUAAAGACUUAAAAAGAAAUCAAACAAAUCAAACAAAGAUAUGUUUUGACUUAAUUUGGCUCAGAAACCCAACUUGUUAAUCAUCAUUCAACCCAGGGACCAAACUCUUAGACAAGUAAUAAUGUCAUUAACCUCGCAUUUUAAUAUCUGUUGGAAUCAUCAUUUCCAAAUGACUACUCAUCCACCCCCACCUACCCCCACCUAGGAUGGAAGUCAAAUCUGAGGACGUACGUUAUUAGCAGUACGUAACGUCCAACCUAUCAUCCAAGAGGGACUACACUAUUUUGGCUUGGUGUUCUACACACAAAGAAAGCUAUGUUGCCUAGAACUCAAAACGCAUUACACGUUGAACCAACCUCAAGUAGCACAGAAUUGUCCCAAGUUAGCCUCUUGAUUAAUUAUUGUUAAUUAAUGUGAUAGCAAGGAAAGACAAGUAAUUACCUAUUAUGUUGUUAACCUAUAGCCAUUAUGUCUAAGCAUUCAAUAAUUGAUAGUAUUAACAAUAACUGUAACUCGUACGUGUCACGCGUGUCACUAAGUGUUAACAAAAGGGGGCCAAAAGUGUAGUCAAUGUGUAAGAACUAUAAUGCUAUAUGCCUAACCUUUUAAUAAGCUAAAAUGUUAACCUUUUAAUCAGCUAAAAUGUUAAUAAUGCAAGAAUUGAAUGUUAACAUGAUUAAAUUUCAAGACUAUCAUGCUGAAAAUAGUUAGAAAAAGUAAAUGCCGAGGUUAUGUAAAUGUAUUUAGUUUAAUAUGCAGAACAUUUCAUAAUGUGCAAAAUAUAUCAAGAUGUGCAGAAAAGAUGUUAUGAAUGUGCAGGAAAUAUUUAAAAUGUACAGAAAAUGUUUUGUAAUGUACAGAAAUUAAAUGCUACAUUGUUUUAAUAACAUUAACAUGCUGAAAUUUCAUUUAAAGGUGCAGAAAAUUAGUGCUAACAUACUGAGAUAAUUAAUUAAUCAUUCUAAGGCUUAUUUUAACGUGCAGAAGUAAAAGGUGCAGAAAUUUCAACAUGCUGCAGUUUGCCUAAGCCUUUUGUUACCAUGAUGAUAAAUAUGUUAAGUGAAAGAAUUUAUACUAACAUGUUCCAGUAAGAUUGACAUGCUGAAUGCUGUAAUUUUCAUCAGUGUUAAACAUGCAAGGUUUAACAUGCUAAAAUAUAUUGGUAUGCCAAAAUUAACCGUGCUUAAAAAAUUAACAUGCACCACCAAUAUGCUAAUAUGUUUGAUGUCAAAUAAUGUAUUAAUAUGCUUGAUGUAAAAUAACUUGGUAUGUCGUUCUUAGUUAGAUCAAAAAUAAUUAACAAAUUAUGAAUUAAGUGUCUAAACUAUUUGUAUGUUAAUGAACCCUGAUAUUUUGUGCCUAAGUGAUUCAAAUAGCACGUAACAAAUAUGAAGCUUAAAUCGGUGCCUAACGAUAUUAUUCAUAGAGCACAUAGUUCCCCACCCCCAGAAGCAGUCCCCAAUUUAUUAUUACAUCACAGUGUAGCGUUUAUACAAUAUUAAAUACCAAUAAAACGAAGAAUCAACUAAACUAAAAAGGGAAAAACAUAAUCCCUCUCAAAUCCUCGAUCAACUCUUCAAUUCCCCCAAACUUGUUAAACAUAGUGGCAUAGCAUGGCAAGCACAAAGAGGCUAACGAAAAUAUCCUAAAUACAAAAUGACACAACAACGAUACAACACACAAAAGUCCAUGUAAUUCCUAAAUACAUGUUUUCUAGCAUCAUCAUAUAAGGUAUUGAAAUUACGUCGUCAGAAACAUCUGAUAUAUUUUGAUAGAGAGUAGGGAGAGUGUAAAUAUUAGAGAGUCCCUUCUUGAUGAAAGAAGAUGGGGUUUAUAUAGUGUGGAGGGGGAAUCCCUCUAGGUAUAAAAAAGGAAAAGAAAUAUACAGCAAUCAAGAAUCAAUAAAAUCAAAUUAGUGUAAAACUUACCAUAACUGUAUAAGCAAAGUAUUUUUGAAUAUAGAACAAAUAAUGGCAAAUAUGUACGAACACUAGUAUUUAAUACAAGUUCGUCAAUCAUGUGGGACAUUCUCUAUUCAAACUAAUUUAAUUAUGUCAAAGAGAGAUACAAAUAUACCAAAAAUAGGUAAGUAAGAAAAGAUAUUAUAGGAUCCACCGUACAAGCCAAGUUUAUUGGAAAUAUCGGAAGGCGGAAUAUCCUGGCAGUGAUCGAUUAUCAGAUUACCUUAAAUUAAUUCUAAAAUUGCACCAAAUCAAUUCUCUACCGUCAAUUGGGAGGAAACACAACAAAUUUGCCAUGUUAAUCACACAUAUAUAAAUCCUUAUAAUUAAGGGGUGUAAAAGACAGGGAAUAGCCACAAAUUAAGUAAAAAGAGAUGAAUCAAAAUCACUGCGACAAUCACGCACAUACAUUUUCUAUAAAGAAAAACUUGCCAAAUCAAUUAUCUCAUUUUGCCUUGAAAUAAUGUUCAAUCAAAGCAAAUAAAGACGAAGGGAGUAUCAAUCAUGAGGAAAUUCUUUUCCCUCAAAAUCAAAAUCAAACACACGCAGAAUUUAGGCAUUUUCACACGCAAUAACAUGAAUGCUUAAGCCGAUACGAAUCACAAUAAGCCUUGAAUAACCCUCAUGAUGAAAUCAAAUAAUAAAGAAAACAAGUUGACGAAGGUUGAGAACUCGAAAACACGGAAUCAAACCUUAGUCCCCAAAAUAUGUACUUUUCGGUAGGGAGAACGGAGAUGUAGCUAUGGCGGCUGUUGCAUGUGACGAAGACGUUGUUGUCGCCAGCUGAUGGCGUGAACGGAGGGGAUCUGGCGGCUGGAGUGAUUGAAUCAAGCGGUGACAAGGGGCUGGUCUUCGUUGUUCACGGAUGCUCGAGGUGGUAGCCGGUGGAGCAGCGGCGGCCCGAAGCGGAGAAGAGGAGGGGCUCGGAGGCGGCUGGUGGGCGGCGAGGUCGCGACGGAACGGGAAAGGAGGAGGACGAGAGGGGACUGGUGGUUGGUUGGCGCAGUUGUAGGAGGGGAGGCGGCGCUAUGGUGGUUUUGAGAGAGGUGGAGAGGGAGAGUGUUAGAGAGAGAGAAGGGGAGGGAGGCGGAUGAAAAGAAUUUUAGGGUUAGG